GAUGAACGCUCGCUACAGGCUUAACACAUGCAAGUCGCGGGGCAGCAUGGGGGUUGCUUGCCACCCCUGAUGGCGACCGGCGCACGGGUGAGUAACGCGUAUCCAACCUGCCCUUCACCACGGGAUAACCCGGCGAAAGUCGGACUAAUACCGUAUGUUGUCCAUUGACGGCAUCCGAUUGGGACGAACGGCUGGGCGGGGAGAGGGUGGGGAUGGGUCCGGUUAGCUUGACGGGGGGGUAACGGCCCACGGGGGGUACGGACGGUAGGGGUGCUGAGAGGAAGGUCCCCCCCACUGGACCUGAGACCCGGCCCAGACUCCUACGGGGGGCAGCAGUAAGGAGUAUUGGUCAAGGGGCGUAGCCUGAACCAGCCAAGUAGCGUGCAGGAGGACGGCCCUAUGGGUUGUAAACUGCUUUUAUGCGGGGAUAAAGUGGCCCACGUGUGGGCUUUUGCAGGUACCGCAUGAAUAAGGACCGGCUAAUUCCGUG
This 490-nucleotide ribosomal RNA is filed under the name uncultured bacterium. RNAcentral's name for it is "partial 16S ribosomal RNA". It matches the Rfam family "Bacterial small subunit ribosomal RNA", at positions 28 to 507 of the family's 1533-position model. The record is from RNAcentral.